Molecule: long non-coding RNA, 487 nt
Filed under: Mus spicilegus (steppe mouse)
Lineage: Eukaryota; Metazoa; Chordata; Mammalia; Rodentia; Muridae
Description: lncRNA (ENSMSIG00000000496.1)
Source: RNAcentral
CCAUAGAAACCCUGCUGCCCUCUCUCACCCCUUCCUUUUUUGUUACAGGCAAGAAAAUUGUCGGUGCUACUUGCAAUCCAUGCAGAAAACAUAUUUCCCAGCAGGAACACAGAAGUGAAAUGCAUAUUGUCCUCAAGGCAGAAAAGAUUGCCACAAGUGUCUCCAGGAAACAUUGCAGGUUAUAGUCCCAGCAGUGUGAACGUUAUGAGGGCUGUAAAUGAUGAAAGGGAAGAAGAAGGCAACAGAUGAGCAAUGCUUCAGUCUCUGAGCCUUUGGAGGCUAGAGCUAUCCAUGAACAAGUGAUGGAAGGCUUGUGGUUUGAAGGCACUGUGUAGGUUCCACCCACAGUGCUUGACACAUGUUAUUUUAUAAUCAUACUCUACUGUUCUCCUGUGCCUGUAAGAGAUUCAGAGAUUCAAUAGUUCUAAUGUUUAUAAUGCUGUUCAAGCUUCCUAGAUGAAUAUCACAUUAGUGACACUUACUACAG